This 83-nucleotide transfer RNA is filed under the name Candidatus Nanohaloarchaea archaeon. RNAcentral describes it as "tRNA-Leu". It matches the Rfam family "tRNA". Rfam says of the family: Transfer RNA (tRNA) molecules are approximately 80 nucleotides in length. Their secondary structure includes four short double-helical elements and three loops (D, anti-codon, and T loops). Lineage: Archaea; Methanobacteriati; Methanobacteriota; Candidatus Nanohaloarchaea. The record is from RNAcentral.
GCCGGGUUAGCCAAGGGGUCAAAGGCGGCAGAUUCAAGACCUGUUCCCGCAGGGGUUCGCAGGUUCGAAUCCUGCACCCGGCA